Molecule: ribosomal RNA, 423 nt
Filed under: uncultured prokaryote
Description: bacterial SSU rRNA
Rfam family: Bacterial small subunit ribosomal RNA
Source: RNAcentral
GAGAAUAUUUAGCAAUGGACGAAAGUCUGACUAUGCGACGCCGCGUGAGGGAUGAAGGAUUUCGGUUCGUAAACCUCUUUCGAUAGGGAAGAAACUCCCUGCUCGUAAGGGCAGGUGCUGACGGUACCUAGAGAAGAAGCCAUGGCCAACUCCGUGCCAGCAGCCGCGGUAAUACGGGGAUGGCGAGCGUUACUCGGAUUUACUGGGUGUAAAGGGCAGGUAGGCGGUUUUGCAAGUUGAAGGUUAAAUCCUCUGACUCAAUCAGAGAACUGCCUUCAAAACUACAUUACUUGAGGACUGGAGAGGAGAGCGGAAUUCCCGGUGUAAGGGUGAAAUCUGUAGAUAUCGGGAGGAACACCCGUGGCGAAAGCGGCUCUCUGGCCAGUAUCUGACGCUGAGCUGCGAAAGCUAGGGGAGCAAACA